Molecule: long non-coding RNA, 1305 nt
Organism: Varroa destructor (honeybee mite)
Lineage: Eukaryota; Metazoa; Arthropoda; Arachnida; Mesostigmata; Varroidae
Source: RefSeq, a predicted model, not a curated record
GCUCGCAUUCGACUGAGUGAACCAGCCCAAACGAUUUUCAUCGGGUUCACUUCGACUGAUGUACCAUCAUUUUCUUCAGUUCCUCUAAACGUUAGCUAACCUUGCCCUGGCGCAAAAUCUACACGUUCACGUUGCGUUAUUCGCCCUUCUAUCAUUCGAACCUUUGUUGCUGCCUUGCCACCUAUUCACAAGUCGAAGCAGGAAAGACCCUCCAAAAACAACGAGGUUACCACCUAUAGCAGAUAAUUCGUACGUUUGGUGGUAACGACCUCACGUCGGCUGUUGUUGCGGUCGUUGCGUUUUGUCCCGUGGCGCCUUUGCGUUCGUAUUGUUCAGACAAUUCGAAUUACAGCGCUCCAUUUCGGACACUACCUGGCAUAUCGGAAAGGAAAAUAAACGCAAUGAUGGAUUUUCUGCCUCGACGUUAAUUUGCGCCAGUAAAUGUAACUUGUCCUAGUAGUGAUGUGUAGUACUACGUCUGCUCACUUUCAACAUGCGAGACGCCAUUAUAUCGGUAGCGCGGUUACGAUUAUACGAGCUUUAACACACACACGAUCGUUUUCUGAGAUCUGGACAAUCUCUACAUACAUAUUCCUAUUGCAAUCGUUGUAGGACCUCGAACUGUCCAUCGGUGCGUUCUGUACAUGGAAUUCUAGUUAGCUUAAAACAAUUGUCUAAAUACUCUGUACAGCGCUAAGGUGUCCUGAACCUCUCGUGAUGAUUCGUUCCCUCACUCGCCGGGUCGACGCACGUCCUUUCUGGGUAGUAGAAAUAAAGGUUCCUUCGCCUGUCGUUCCUUUGCAACUGGAUCAAAUGAAUUCGAAUACGUCUUCAAUUGAUGAGCAUUUGUAGGAAGUUAUUUCAGUGGUUCUACGAUAUACUUGUGCUUUACGUUUCUUAUUCUCUCUGGUACCUGGUGCGUGAUUUCGUUCGGUGCUCGUCGAUAGUCGCCGUUCUCGUUCGCACCGAUGAAGGCAUCAGCUCGAUGGCUGUAUAAUUCAAUGAGUCAAUAAUAAAUUGUUUUUCAAGCCAAGCGAUAUAGAAGAUAAGAUGUAAUAUAAAGGUCAAUUGAAUAUUCUAAAAGAGGGUACGUAAACACACAGACAAAUAGGACAAUCCUAGAGAUGCUCGUUCAUACAGAUCCAUAAUCGACUCUGCUUCAUUCAUCCGUUUAUAAGCGAAAAUUCUAAAUCUAUCACAUUUGACAAAUCGAUCGACCUCUUCUGUUGCUGUGCACGCUCCUUUGCUUAGCCUAGUUUUUAUAUAAUUUAUGCAGAUCGCUUUUGAGUGAGCGUGUAUCGAAUA